CACUUCCCGUCCUUCCAUCCC
Molecule: microRNA, 21 nt
Filed under: Human alphaherpesvirus 1 (Herpes simplex virus type 1)
Lineage: Duplodnaviria; Heunggongvirae; Peploviricota; Herviviricetes; Herpesvirales; Orthoherpesviridae
Description: hsv1-miR-H6-3p
Gene: hsv1-miR-H6-3p
Source: miRBase by way of RNAcentral